GAGAACUAUGUGAAUGGGGAGGCAAGAAGUGCUCUCUAGUCUAACUGCUUUGUUCCACGUGGACAAGUGGGCCGUCUUUUACAGGCCGUCCUGUCAUCUCCGCCCCUUAGCCGCCUGCUGCUGUCAACCUAAGUGUCUCAGGCCGAACUUCCGCAUGGAUACGGUGCUGGGGCCCAAAAUGCAAAGCCAGGAGGAAGAACUACAGACACAUGGAAAAAUGUACCGGGAAUCGAACUCACAACGUCUGAUUUCACUUCCUUUUGAUGGAAUUUCAUAUGUGGAAUUUGUGCAAAGGAAGAAAGAAACAGCUGCGGCCUAUCACCUUUGAGGAUUUUGGCCAACAGCCUGGCAUCUUGGGAAUUUCUCCAGCCUGCUUUUCAGAGGUAUUCAGACCCAUCUAGAAGGCAAAGGCUUGAAAGGGAACCAAAAAUAUUGAAGAUUUAUGCCUCUUGUGUAAUUUCACUCUAAGAAACAAAGCUAAUGUCUGCUCAGCACUUCAUGUAAGAUGAACGGAAACCUGCGAAGAAACACAUUAUUAAAGAGAAUAAUUUUGUACACUGUUCUGUUCAAAUUGCUUGCAUCACACAUUCCACAGGCAGCUUGAAAAUGUUUUGCACACUCGAAAGAUGAAAGCAUUUGAUACUUUCCUGGAGAUGGAAGGAUAAGGACAGUCCUGGAUUCUUAACGUCCUCAGCUGAUGGUUCUGCGUAGUUACCAGCUA
This 721-nucleotide long non-coding RNA is filed under the name Chinchilla lanigera (long-tailed chinchilla). Its description in RNAcentral is "lncRNA (ENSCLAG00000027128.1)". Lineage: Eukaryota; Metazoa; Chordata; Mammalia; Rodentia; Chinchillidae. The record is from RNAcentral.